GGGUAGGGCCCCAUUGCGCAUGCGGAUUGUCAGCGCGGGCCCGCUUGCUUCUCCGGGAGUCGUAGCUACGGUUUUCUCCCGGGCCUCUUCACUACCAUGACCCGCCUCACGCUCCAGUCCCUUCGCGAAGUCGUCAAGGCCGUCACGGAGGCGUCGGGUUUUGAUCGAGUGCUAAACAAGAUGACAGUUCUUUCUGCUGACUCUGGAAAAGUAGUCUGUGGAAUGGAGGUAGCAGAAGAGCACACAAACCGGGGAGGAACUCUGCAUGGAGGGCUGACGGCAACACUCAUUGAUGUCGUGUCGACAGCUGCUUUGCUGCACAGUGAACGAGGAGCACCUGGAGUCAGUGUGGACAUGAAUAUUACCUAUGUGUCGGCAGCUAAGAUUGGAGAUGAAAUCCUGAUCACUGCUGAGAUCCUCAAGCAAGGAAAAAGGCUGGCCUUUACCACCGUGGAUUUAACAAACAAAGCAACUGGAAGAUUGAUAGCCCAAGGAAGGCAUACCAAAUACCUAGGAUCCUGAUUGGACAAAGGGAGUGUCCAAUUAAAGGCUUGGAGCUUUGACCCAGCAACAUUGGGAAAGAUAGAUAAAUCGCAACAAAGUAUUUGCUGGAGGUGUAGGAAACAGAAGGAGACAUUCCUCCAUAUUUGGUGGACCUGUGAGACCAUACAGGCAUUUUGGGAUAAGGAAACUUAAGGAGACAAAUAAAAUGCUACAUAAUAAGAUUAAAAAAGCAUAGGGUUGUGUUUGUUAGGUUUACAUCAGUGAUUCCCAAAGUGAGUGCUACUGCCCCCUGGUGGGUGCUGCAGCGAUGCAGGGGGGCGGUGAUAGCCACAGGUGCAUUUGGUGUGGGGCCGGGGCACGGGGCCUCUUCCCAAGUGCUGGAGACAGGGCUAAGUCCCUGAGGUGCCUGUUAGGAAACAGGAGGCGGAGCUAGAAGAGUGGGCAUGGCUGAGUGGGCUGAGAAUCUAUACCUCUCCUGAGGCACGUGUUGGGACACAGAUGGCAGAGCUAGAGCCCAAGACAGGGCUGAGCCUGUAUACCUUUCCUGAGAGGCCUUUUAGGACUAAAGGGGGGGGGGGGGGCUAGGGGCAAGGGUGGGGCCUCUUGCCAAGAGCAGGAGACAGGGCUGAGCCUCUAUAUACCUCCCCUGAAGCGCUUGUUAGAACACAGGGGUGGGGUAUAGAGGUUCAGCCCCGUCAGGCACUUGGGAAUAGGCUCCGGCCCCUCCUCUAGCCACGCCCCCUGUGUCCUGGCAGGUGCUGCAGGACAGGGAUAGAAGCUCAGCCCUGCCUCAGAGCUUGUAAUUCCGUCCAUCCCAGUCCUGGCUGCCCAUUUGUGGCCCUGCCCACCUCCCCUCGCAGCCCUGCAUCUUGGACUAGGGGAAAGGCUCAGCCCUGCCCUCUUGAGCAGGAGCCACGCCCACCCUCUAAGCCACGCCCACCCUUUCCAGGGGGUGUUGAGUAAUAUUUUUCUGGAAAGGGGGCAGUAGGCCAAAUAAGUUUGGGAACCACUGGUUUACAUAGAGAAAACAAUGAUCAAAAGGACCAAAAAUACACCAAUAUAGCUUUGCCAUGGCAAGAUUAACCAUGGCCAAAGACCGGAAUGGGGAAAAAAGUUUAACUAAAAACGAUUGGAGGGAGAGAAUGCAGGAAUAUAUGCUAAUGGCCAAACUAACCAAAAUAGGAGGAACAAAAGUAAUGAGGACUUUCUGGAAAAGUGGAAGUUGGCCAUGGCAUAUCUGAGUGGAGUGUCAGUGACAUAGAGGAGUGCCAUUAGGAAUUUAGGAUUAGGCAAUGGACAAGGGUAGAUAAAUUGGCUUAAAGGCUUCAUAGUGCUUCAGUUAUCGGAAGUCAUGGUGAAGGGUGCAUGGGUCUGGGAAAGAGGUUUUAUUUUGUGUGGGAUUGGGGUUUUGGGUGCCUGUAUGGUCUGUAAUACGUGUGGUGUUGUUUGAAUGUUAUGGUGAACUGUUAUAUUAAUAAAAUUAAAUAUCUGGGGAAAAAGCUUGGAGUUUUGAGAAAGCAGAACAAAGCAACUUUAGAACAGUACUAAAGUGCAAAAGAUCAAUGUUCACUAUAUCAAUCUUCUUUACUGUUCAUCUACAGCAGUGGGUCCCAACCUGUGGGUCCACAGAUGUUUUGGCCUUCAACUCCCGGGAAUCCUAACAGCUGGUAAAUUGGCUGGGAUUUCUGGGAGUUGUAGGCCAAAACACCUGGGGAUCCAUAGGUUGAGAACCACUGAUCUACAGUAAGUUGGUGGCCUAAAUUCAGAUUUCCUCUUCUUUAUGCAUCUUUGGUUAUGAACUGUCUUCAUAUCGCGUCUCCCGGUGAGUGGAAUAUAAAUGCAGGCAAUCAUUUGUCCUCAUGGCGGAGAGGGAAUAGCAGUGUGGUGUAGUCAAUAUUAGCCAGAUUUCUACCCAGUUGGAGAGAAGCAUACACAGAAAUCACCAAAGCAUACAUUCAAUGUUAAUAACUUACUAGGGUAGAUAAGCCACCAGUAAAAACAAAGGGUUUCAACCACAAUUGCAAAAACCACACAAAACCAUCACAUAAACAAGAAUGUGGAAGAAAAUAUUUUUGGGGGAUUUCUGCUGGAUCAUUUUCCCUUUGGAAAAUUGACUUUAUUUUUACCUUAAAUCCAAACUGGGAUGGUUGCAGGAAUCCAAGGUGACUUCCCUAUUGCUCUAUUCAGAAGACAUUAUUGGAACCAUAUGAUCUGUUUUGAGUACUUUGAAUCCAGUAUUGAAUGAAUGUCACAUCUGUUAAACAUCACAUAAUUAUUUCAUUCAUUAUCUGUUAAGUUAUUGAUUCAUACUCAUUCAUGUUGAAGUGCGCAGAGGUAAUAGAUAUUGGAAUUUCACAGUUAUUUCCAAAAUAUUGAAUCUAUCCUGUGGGUCUUUUGUUAAAAAAUGAUUCACGUCUUGAGAACUUGCUGUCUGUUAUGAAAAUUUGGUAUUGUAAAAUUUCCUUAACCUUGUUCUAGUCCCUCUUCAAAGUUGACUUCAAAUAACACCCACAUCUCUUUUGCUGGAAUUCACAUUUCUUAAUACAAUCACUAACAUCAUUGUCCAUCAGUUUUAGUCCACUAAGAUUUAGUGAAAGUCUUCCAAAAUUUGAGCACCAUAAAUAAUGGAUAUUUCGGAGCAAUGAUCGAUAUGGUGCUGUUCUUGAGAAGGUUUCAGUGAUUCAUAGUACCUUGUAAAGCAGUCAUAUUUAUUAUCAUCGUAUUUGUUUAUAGUCUGCUUUUUCCCAAAAAUUGGGACUCAAAUCAGCUUACAUAUUUAAAAGAUUACAAUUAAAAGCAUACUAAAAGUCACAUUAAAACUGAAUUAAACGAAGAACCAUAUUAAAAGCACACCCUCUAAGAGUUUAAAAACAAUAAACAAUCCAAUCAAAACAACAGAGCAGAACACUUACAGCUCCUUUUCACUUCUAAAAGCCUGUCCGAAUAAAGUUUUUGUCUGUUGCCUUUAUUUUACUUUUUUUUUUGGGGGGGGGGGGGGGCUUUCAGGGGCUUCUGUUGAACAGAUACAAUUUGAAUACUUGUUUCUUGGCAUUGACAUUUCUAUGAAUAUAUGCAUUUCACCCCCACCCCCCAGACAUCAUGCAACACUUCUUGGUGUUAGUGAUCAACCAGUUCAUGUGUCUGACUCUUGGCUGUAGUCCCUAUUUUUCCUCAGGUCCUAUGAUUUUAUUCUUGUUUGUUCCAUGUGAGUCCUGUUUUUUUCUCUCCCUAAAAGUAAGAUGUAUCUGCACACACACAAGGAAUAAACUAGUGACAGCCACACAAAUUAUGAUGGGCUUUAGUGGCUCCUUCGGGUCUGGCAGCCUAUGGGUCUUUUAAUACCUGAAGAAUAUUUUACAUUAAUGAAGACUGUUUCCUCUAUAGUCCUUUUAUUUAAUUUUCUAUGGAGCCCCCAGUGGCACAAUAGGUUAAACCCUUCUGCCAGCAAGACUGCUGGCAGACAGGUUAGCGGUUUGAAUCCGGGGAGAGCUGGUGAGCUCUCUGUCAGUUCCAGCUCUCCAUGCGGGGACAUGAGCUAACCCUCCCAUAAGGAUGGUAAAACAUCAGGGCGUCCCCUGGGCAACGUCCUUGCAGAUGGCCAAGUCUCUCACACCAGAAGCGACUUGCAAUUGCUCUUCACACGAAAAAAAAUUGGGUUUUCUAAUAUAUUUUGCAUUGUGGAGUCUGAAACAUCUGGCUGUUUGAUGCUCUGUGAACUGUCUUCCUGUGUCCAUAGUACUGAUUCCUCUUGAAUAAUACUUUGCCUGAACGUAGAUUCGAUUUCUUCUUUUUCUUUUUCAUUUACUUUUCCAACUCUGUGCCCAGAAUGAUGAGGGGGAGGACUGUAAUCUCCUAGUGGUCACCAAUGCGUUCUUUCUCUUCAUUCCCACUAUCAACUCACAGAUGCAGCCGGCUGGGCAGAAGUCCUGGUUUACCUGCUGGCCAACAAAAUCACUUGAUAGUCAACAUACUCCCUCCCCCCUUGCUAUAUUUCCCAACCAGGACACAUUCGUAACUCUGAUGUUCAUAACUCAGGGACUGCCUAUGUUUUGUGUUGCACUGUCAGGAGUGUCUGGUUCUUCUGUGAUGCUUUAUGAAGUGUCUUCCUGUGUCCAUAACACUUUAACUCCUGAAGAAUAUUUUGCAUUAAUGAAGACUUGACUUCUUCUCUAGUAUUUUCAUUUACUUUACUGGGAGCCCCCAGUGGUGAAGUGGAUUAAACCCUUGUGCUGGAAGGACUGAUGACUUGAAGGUUGGGUUGAUGACCUGAAGGUUGCCAGUUCGAAUCCAACCCGGGGAGAGCAUGGAUGAGCUCUUUUUAACAGCUCCAUGUUUGGCCUGCAGCAUGCCAGAAUAAUCACUCCUAUGGCAACAAUGGGUUCCCAAAGCGCUUGAAACUUGCCAGAACUUUUAGCUUACUGUAACUUCUGGGACUUUUUUCCCAAUCCAUGCAUUGCAUGUUUGUCCGUGCCUCCAUUUUUGGCAUAUUUUAGAAUUCCAGAUAAAGGAUGCCCAGACUGUAUUAACCUGCUAAGUGCAUUAGUUGCUUUAUCGGAUGUUAAAUUAAGGUGUAAAUUAAUUUAAGUAUGUGAAUAUGAAAAGAAAGGAGGAAACCAAAGAGAUCAUUGUGAGUUCUAAACAGUAAUCUUAAAUAUUUCAAUCAAACUGCCCAAGUUGAAUAUGUAUAUGGUACAAAGCCGUGCGUACCUCUAGUACCUUAACUUGCACUCUUAAAAACUAUUUACUUGUGUAGACUGUUUACAGUUAAGUAAAAUAAAACUGAAAUACACAGAAUAUUUUACAAGACUGUGUUAAAAUAUGCUGCAAGCUCAGAUUUUAAAUAUAGAAUCAGUACACAUCAUGGUUCAACUAAUUUAUUUCUUUUUUCCAAUUCCAAACAAAAGCUAAAUACAAAUUUUGAACAGAUAAGCACUAGAUUACCCAAAGGGAGUAGGCUUAUACAGAUUUACUUCAGUAAAAUUACUCAACCCUUAAGCAAAGCAU
RNA transcript from Anolis carolinensis (green anole), 5508 nucleotides. It is a transcript of the gene named acyl-CoA thioesterase 13, with no coding region annotated. The record is from RefSeq and is a predicted model, not a curated record. NCBI's taxonomy places the organism in Eukaryota, Metazoa, Chordata, Lepidosauria, Squamata, Anolidae. The transcript is spliced from 4 exons.